This 484-nucleotide ribosomal RNA is filed under the name uncultured bacterium. RNAcentral describes it as "partial 16S ribosomal RNA". It matches the Rfam family "Bacterial small subunit ribosomal RNA", at positions 30 to 507 of the family's 1533-position model. The record is from RNAcentral.
AUUGAACGCUGGCGGCAUGCCUAACACAUGCAAGUCGAGCGGAUGAAGGGAGUUUGCUCCUGGAUUCAGCGGCGGACGGGUGAGUAAUGCCUAUGAAUCUGCCUGUUAGUGGGGGAUAACGUCCGGAAACGGGCGCUAAUACCGCAUACGUCCUGAGGGAGAAAGUGGGGGAUCUUCGGACCUCACGCUAUCAGAUGAGCCUAGGUCGGAUUAGCUAGUUGGUGGGGUAAAGGCCUACCAAGGCGACGAUCCGUAACUGGUCUGAGAGGAUGAUCAGUCACACUGGAACUGAGACACGGUCCAGACUCCUACGGGAGGCAGCAGUGGGGAAUAUUGGACAAUGGGCGAAAGCCUGAUCCAGCCAUGCCGCGUGUGUGAAGAAGGUCUUCGGAUUGUAAAGCACUUUAAGUUGGGAGGAAGGGCAGUAAGUUAAUACCUUGCUGUUUUGACGUUACCAACAGAAUAAGCACCGGCUAACUUCGUG